GCUCGGGUGGUGAAACUGGUAGACACACAAGACUUAAAAUCUUGAGGGGUUCGCCCCGUGCGGGUUCGAGUCCCGCCCCGAGCACCA
This 87-nucleotide transfer RNA is filed under the name Saccharospirillum salsuginis. Its description in RNAcentral is "tRNA-Leu". It matches the Rfam family "tRNA". From Rfam's summary of the family: Transfer RNA (tRNA) molecules are approximately 80 nucleotides in length. Their secondary structure includes four short double-helical elements and three loops (D, anti-codon, and T loops). The record is from RNAcentral. Lineage: Bacteria; Pseudomonadati; Pseudomonadota; Gammaproteobacteria; Oceanospirillales; Saccharospirillaceae.